Molecule: non-coding RNA, 116 nt
Organism: Triticum aestivum (bread wheat)
Lineage: Eukaryota; Viridiplantae; Streptophyta; Magnoliopsida; Poales; Poaceae
Source: Rfam
AAGUUACUCCCUCCGUCCCAAAAUUCUUGUCUUAGAUUUGUCUAGAUAUGGAUGUAACGGUACAUCCGUAUCUAGACAAAUCUAAGACAAGAAAUUUGGGACAAAGGGAGUAGUUG